RNAcentral lists this long non-coding RNA (485 nucleotides) under Citrus x clementina. RNAcentral describes it as "Citrus clementina (C. clementina) long non-coding RNA (CCLE_LNC002940)". Lineage: Eukaryota; Viridiplantae; Streptophyta; Magnoliopsida; Sapindales; Rutaceae. The record is from RNAcentral.
UACCAAUAAGCACAUAUUUACUAAUUUAUUAAUAAGAUAAAUUAGAUUUUUUUUUCUUAUCUCUCUACACAAACACCUUAAAUCUUAAUCUUCUUCUUCUCAACAAUACAAUUACUAUCAUCUCUUUCAAUCUUUUUUCCCAUUUACUUUGCAUUGGAAUCACUGCAGAAUCAAUUAUAAAAGCCCUAAACCCAUUAAAUCUUUCAUGAGAUUAAAUAUUGUGGUUACUCCGAAUAAUAUGUGCAAAAUAUAAUGCUUGUUUGAAUACACUUGAUAUUUUGACUCAAUGCCAUGUUAGAUUGUUGACCAUUUCAAAUGCGGAAGGCCUAUCGCAUGUAGAAAAGAGUGCAAUGAUUUGCUUCAUGCCGUUAACCCAAGGGUUGUGUAAAGCAGCACUCUUUUUAAGUGUUUGUAUUAUACCACAACUAUUAACCUUUUGAAAUUAGGGGUCAGCCUGCAAUGCACCGCUGUAUCUCAUACAGCCU